AUUGAACGCUGGCGGCAGGCCUAACACAUGCAAGUCGAACGAGUCGCGGACGGGUGAGUAAUGUCUGUGAAACUGCCUUUUGGAGGGGGAUAACUACUGGAAACGGUAGCUAAUACCGCAUACCAUCAGAUGUGCCCAUAUUGUAUUAGCUAGUUGGGGGGGUAACGGCUCACCAAGGCGACGAUCCCUAGCUGGUCUGAGAGGAUGACGAGCCACACGGGAGCUGAGACACGGUCCAGAAUCCUAAGGGAGGCAGGAGUGGGGAAUAUUGCACAAUGGGCGCAAGCGAGAUGCAGGCAUGGCGGGUGUAUGAAGAGGGCCAUCGGGGUGUGAAGUACGAUAAGCGGGGGGGCGGUACCCGAAGAAGAAGCACCGGCUAACUCCGUGCCAGCAGCCGCGGUAAUAC
Molecule: ribosomal RNA, 406 nt
Filed under: uncultured bacterium
Lineage: Bacteria
Description: partial 16S ribosomal RNA
Rfam family: Bacterial small subunit ribosomal RNA
Source: RNAcentral